RNAcentral lists this long non-coding RNA (2567 nucleotides) under Nicotiana tabacum (common tobacco). Its description in RNAcentral is "long non-coding RNA (NTAB_LNC000937)". The record is from RNAcentral. Lineage: Eukaryota; Viridiplantae; Streptophyta; Magnoliopsida; Solanales; Solanaceae.
AAGAAGAAAAGAGCAACAAAAUUAACUAACCCCAAUUUUCUCCAUGUUUUGAAAGCUAACUCCCACAACUGAAACAGCUAGAAUUCCACUAAAUCUACUUAAUGGUGUUAAUUUAAUUAUUAUUAUAUUUUUUUGCUAUCAGAGUAAUAACUAUGAAGACUUAAACAUUUUAUCUUCAAAUGAAACAAUGAAAUAAAGAAUCAGAAAUAUAUUUUUGGGCAUAAAAAUCCUCCCAAACAGAUUAAACAAGCGACAACAAAACUAUGACCAAUAGAACGAAACGGAGUAAUCAAGUAUUACUGAGACACCCCAAAUAGAACAAUAAAAUAUCAGCUCAAACGAUCAAUAAGAUAGAGAAGCAACCAUCACCAAAACAAAGGAAAGUACGAUAUUAAGCAAAACAACAAAAUAAGGGAGAAAUAGACCUCAAACCGCUAGAACCAUGAACGGAACUCGAACCGGAAACCAAUAGACAGUACCUCGACGCACAAUGAAAUGGACUCCUUGGACAAUGAGCUCCGACGACCUCGAAGCUCGUCGGAAAACUCGAACUAAACUAGAAAGACAAAACAAACGGACUCCAUAAUAGUGACUCGCGAUUCGGAGUUGUUUCGAGCUAUUUCAAGUUGUUUCGAUGGAGGUUUCAGCAGUGGACCAAGGGCACUGAGAUUUACGGUUGGUGGCUAUGGAGAAUUUGGUUCAAGGCUCUGUGAUGUGAAGAAGAUGACUAGGGGUGAGUUGUUGAGCUCUCGUUCCCCAUCUCUCGUCUUUAUUUCUGUCCAUUUCCCCAGCCCCCGCUUUCCCUCGUUCCUCUCGUAUCUCUAUCGUGUAUCUCUGUAGGUGUGUGUGUUUAUCUCUGUAGGUGUGUGUGAAUACUUCUUUUUUGUUUUUUUAAUUUAUUAAAGAAAAAAAGAACUGAAAGGGGAGGCCUGUUAGCAAUCUUAAAGAUUUAGUGAUAGUGGCCGCUAUCUUGUGUAUGAGAGAAAAUCCAGAGGUAAAGGGGGUGGUGCGGCUGGUUUUAGAAGUUAGGUUUAACGUUUGCAAAAUUGGGGAUUUAGGCGAUAAAGAGAAGAAAUUUGGGUGAUUGAAUAAAGUAUUUGGACGGCUAAGAUUGAGGGUUGAUGGGGUGGGUCAGGGAAUUAAAAUAGAGGAAGUGGGCUGCUGAGGUUAAAAUAGUAUUGGGCUCAUAGAGGUUGGUCCGAUUUGGGCCAUCUCUUUGGACUUCUUGAAUUAAGCCAAGACAAAAGUUAGCCCCAAAAUUUAAUUUUCUUUCAAAAAAUAAUAAAUAACAAAACACUAAUAAAAUACAAAUGAACAUUAACUAUAACAAAACUCAUAUUGAAAUGAAAUUAUUUUUGUAUUUUUCUUUAAUUUUAAAUACUACAACAAAAAAAUUAAACUAAUAAAGUGAAAAUAAAAUAGAUUAAAAAUCGAUAAUAACUCAAGUAAAUAUUUAAAAUACAAAAACUAAAUGUGCGGGUCAGAAAUUACGUGCUUACAGCUGCCCCUCUUUUCUUGGAAACUCGAAGAGUUUUUGAGCAAAGAAUUAAGUAAGCAACGUAAUUGACUUCCGACCCGACACUUACUCAAAAGAAAUCAAAGAUUGACAAAAGAUUGUGAACGAGCCCUGGUAUCUAAGCUGCUUACAUAUUCUUGGCUAUAAAGGAAUCAGGCCACGUAUAGUUCGGAGGUAGAAAGAGUGACAGAGUAUACCGAGGUGGAGAGCCGAUUGAGGUGCCAUCGAGGUUCCAGUCCACGGUUCCUGCCAUUACAUCAUGAAUUGAAAGCAAAAAUUAAAGCAAAAUUAAAAGAAAAAUACAAGAUCAUAUCUACUUCUUGUCUUGAAUCUUCCUUGAAUCUCUACUUGAUCCUUCAACAUGAAAUUGAAAAUUUACCUUAUUCUUCAGGUGGCCAUCAUGCUGACUUGAAUUUGAAGAAAACUGGAAAUUGACCCUAUUCUUCAGGCGGGCACCAUGCUGCUUGCACUUGAAAUAAACUUGAACUUGCGGUAGACUUGAGCUUGCAAACCUUGUUCUUCAGGCGGCUUGUGCUACUUCUGGUUUGAAUUGAAAAACUGGAGGUUAACCCUAUUCUUCAUGAGGGAUCCUGCUUCCUCUGAUUUGAACUUGAAAAGUGAAAGUUGACCAUGUUCUUCAGGAAAGCUCCUGAUGCCUCUUAAACUUGAAAAUUGAAAGUUGACCAUGUUCUUCAGGUGGGCUCCUGAUGCCUUCCUGACUUGAAAUUGUAAACUGAAAGUUGACCCUGUUCUUCAGGUGGGAUCCUCCUGAUGCUUCUCUAACUUGAACUUGAAAACUGAACGUUGACCCUGUUCUUCAAGCGGGGUCUUGAUGCUUCUCUGAUUUGAACUUAAAAUCGAUUUCUGAAAUAUUGACCCUGUUCUCCAGGUGGGUGCCUGCAAUCAAAACAACACAACAAAUGAAAUUUUCUGCACCAGUUUGCACUAGGAAGAUUUGUGACUUGUUAGCAAAACUAUAAAUCACUUAUGUUAUUGAUGCAAUGAUGAGAGUAAAACUAAAGACUCGACUAGGAUGUGCGUCUCAUGCGCG